This 403-nucleotide long non-coding RNA is filed under the name Dasypus novemcinctus (nine-banded armadillo). Its description in RNAcentral is "lncRNA (ENSDNOG00000051734.1)". The record is from RNAcentral. Lineage: Eukaryota; Metazoa; Chordata; Mammalia; Cingulata; Dasypodidae.
GAAAGAACUCACCAGGAGGAAGAAGUGGGAAACAGAACAGCACAUACAACACGUGAGGUAUAGAAGUGAAACUGGAGAUGGGCAAAACCACCUGACUGGGUUUCAGGUAGCAAGCUCGGUGGCUUCCCGCCUUCCCCGGUCUGCCGUGCACCACGAGGCCCUGAGUCAGCACGGCCGGCGCAGACGUCACGACCACUGGAGCCACGCUGCUCAAGGAAACCAGAGAGACUCUCCCUCCUUUGGGAGCAUCCUUGAAACAAUGAAAAGAAAUCAAUUAUGAUAAAUGAAUAGCAUCUGCCAUCUUGCCGUCUCUCAUUCCUCCAACCACAAAACCCGCCUUGGGAAGAAAACCCAAGGAGUGGUUGGUAGUCAGUGGUGUAGGGUGAGGGAGAGUAAAAGUUUC